Molecule: ribosomal RNA, 1679 nt
Filed under: Acheilognathus tabira tabira
Lineage: Eukaryota; Metazoa; Chordata; Actinopteri; Cypriniformes; Acheilognathidae
Description: 16S rRNA
Rfam family: Bacterial large subunit ribosomal RNA
Source: RNAcentral
GCUAAACAGCUAGCUCAAGCACAUAAACAACCGAACAACAUUAUUUCAAGACAUUAUUUUAUCUACUAAAUUAAAUCAUUCUUUUACCUGAGUAUGGGAGACAGAAAAGGUUAACUCGAAGCGAUAGAAAAAGUACCGCAAGGGAAGGCUGAAAGAGAAAUGAAAUAACCCAUAAAAGCAGAAAAAAGCAAAGAUUAAAUCUUGUACCUUUUGCAUCAUGAUUUAGCAAGUACCCUCAAGCAAAGAGCCCUAUAGUUUGAAACCCCGAAACCAAGUGAGCUACCCCGAGACAGCCUAUAUAAAUUAGGGCAAACCCGUCUCUGUGGCAAAAGAGUGGGAAGAGCUCCGGGUAGAAGUGAUAGACCUACCGAACUUGGUGAUAGCUGGUUGCUUAAGAAAUGGAUAGAAGUUCAGCCCCAUACCCCUCAAGCCAAUAACGGCACUGCCAAAUGACAGAGAGAGAAAUAUGGAAGUUAGUUGAAGGGGGUACAGCCCCUUUAACCAAGGACACAACCUUUGUAGAAGAAUAAAGAUCAUAAUUUUAAAGACUUACUGUUUUAGUGGGCCCAAAAGCAGCCAUCUAGUCAGAAAGCGUUAAAGCUCAGACAGAAAAUAGUUUAUUAUACCGAUAAAAAAUCUUAUUUCCCUUUAAUUAUUAAGCCAACCCAUGCCCUCAUGGGAGAAAUUAUGCUAAAAUGAGUAACAAGAAGGCCCGCCCUUCUCCCGGCACAAGUGUAAAUCAGAUCGGACAAACCGCUGAGCACUAACGAACCCAAAACAAGAGGGCAAUGUGAACUAUAAAAAAACCAAGAAGACCCCACAGUCAAAAAUCGUUAACCCCACACCGGAGUGCCAAUAAGGGAAAGACUAAAAGAAAGGGAAGGAACUCGGCAAACACAAGCCUCGCCUGUUUACCAAAAACAUCGCCUCCUGCAACUUUUAAUGUAUAGGAGGUCCAGCCUGCCCAGUGACUACGGGUUCAACGGCCGCGGUAUUUUGACCGUGCAAAGGUAGCGCAAUCACUUGUCUUUUAAAUAAAGACCUGUAUGAAGGCUAGACGAGGGCUUAGCUGUCUCCCCCCUCCAGUCAGUGAAAUUGAUCUAUCCGUGCAGAAGCGGGUAUAAACUUACAAGACGAGAAGACCCUUUGGAGCUUAAGGUACAAACUUAACCACGUUAAACAACUUAACAAAGAGAUAAAAACCUAGUGGCAUCUAAGACUUUACCUUCGGUUGGGGCGACCACGGAGGAAAGACAAGCCUCCAAGCGGAACGGGUAAAUACCCUAAAGUCUAGAGAGACAUCUCCACACCGCAGAACAUCUGACCAAUAAUGAUCCGGCGUAAAGCCGAUCAACGGACCAAGUUACCCUAGGGAUAACAGCGCAAUCCUCUCCCAGAGUCCAUAUCGACGAGGGGGUUUACGACCUCGAUGUUGGAUCAGGACAUCCUAAUGGUGCAGCCGCUAUUAAGGGUUCGUUUGUUCAACGAUUAAAGUCCUACGUGAUCUGAGUUCAGACCGGAGUAAUCCAGGUCAGUUUCUAUCUGUAACGCUACUUUUCCUAGUACGAAAGGAUCGGAAAAGAGGGGCCCAUGCCUAAAGCACGCCCCACCCCUAAUUAAUGAAAACAAAUAAAAUAAGUAAAGGGAGGGCCAAGGCCCAACCGCCAAGAUAAGGCUAU